AUUGAACGCUGGCGGCAGGCCUAACACAUGCAAGUCGAGCGGAUGAAGGGAGCUUGCUCCUGGAUUCAGCGGCGGACGGGCGAGUAAUGCCUAGGAAUCUGCCUGGUAGUGGGGGAUAACGUCCGGAAACGGGCGCUAAUACCGCAUACGUCCUGAGGGAGAAAGUGGGGGAUCUUCGGACCUCACGCUAUCAGAUGAGCCUAGGUCGGAUUAGCUAGUUGGUGGGGUAAAGGCCUACCAAGGCGACGAUCCGUAACUGGUCUGAGAGGAUGAUCAGUAACAUGGAAAUGAAGAACGGUUCAGGCCUCCAAGGGAGGCAAGCGGUGGGAAAUAUUGAACAAGGGGCGAAGGCCUAAUCCGGCCAGGCGGCUGUGGUGAGGAAGUUCUUCGAUUUGUAAAGCACUUUAGGUGGGAGGAAGGGCAGUAAGUUAAUACCUUGCUGUUUUGACGUUACCAACAGAAUAAGCACCGGCUAACUUCGUG
This 483-nucleotide ribosomal RNA is filed under the name uncultured bacterium. RNAcentral describes it as "partial 16S ribosomal RNA". It matches the Rfam family "Bacterial small subunit ribosomal RNA", at positions 30 to 507 of the family's 1533-position model. The record is from RNAcentral.